CGGGGAGGGAGGGAAGGGGGGCCUUGAAACCGCUUCUCCAAAUUCCCACCCCCCCUCCGAUCAUUCAGCCGGGGGGGGGUGAGGGAAGCGCCUGGAAACUUCUCCUAGCCCCCACCCCCUACACUCCGGUCCAUAAGUGGUUUUAUAGGAAUGGCCCUGGGCCAAAGUGUUUACAUGAAGAUUCACCAAGAGGAACUUGAAAGGGGUGUGUAUGCGUAAUGUACCUUUUCCAACCCUGAUCUGUCUAUAUGGGCAUUCUCAAGCCUCUCUGCCAAGCUUUACCUGGAGUUUAUGGAAGUGCGGAAGAGGAGCACACACAGCAAAGUUGGAUUUUUUGAACAGCAUGCCAGAGAAUCUGCCCAGCCAAGCACUGCCUUUUCCUCCAGGGUGGACGAGACAACUCAACAGCCCCACAGACCAGUAAAAAUAAUAUUUUUGGGGGGUGGUGGUGGAGAGGUUCCCCCACCGAGGAAGAGAGAAGCGCUCCGUUUGGAUCUAAUUUUUGAGAGGUUGCGGGUGAAAGGGAAGAAUCUGGGAGCCACACAGUCCUGCUGAAGAAUGCCAAAGAAGAGGAAUUGAAAGGGGGGAUUCUUUAGAGGCGCAGCCGUGCCCGUCGGGCCCCCCUGGCGCUACGAGGAAGCGCAUGGCGCUGGGGCCGCUGCUGCUGUUGCGGGGCCACCGCUCCCUACCCGGCCUCUGAGCCCCGGGGGAGGCCGAGGAGGAGGAGGGCAAGGCGACCUGGCUGCGGAUGAUGGAUGGAAGAGACCUUGGGGCCCCCCGCGCCGUCCACGUCCCCCCACCGCUCCUCUCCAGCCUGGCCAUGGAGAGCCAGCACCGGGUGGCCGCCGCCGGAGCAGCCGCCGCCCGCCUGGCUGCCAGCCUGCCACCCGCGCCCCUGGCCCCUGGCAAGUACCUUGCCUCCAGCAUCAACCUCCAUGCCCAC
Molecule: long non-coding RNA, 943 nt
Organism: Sphaerodactylus townsendi
Lineage: Eukaryota; Metazoa; Chordata; Lepidosauria; Squamata; Sphaerodactylidae
Exons: 3
Source: RefSeq, a predicted model, not a curated record